ACACUCAUGAUUGCAACUCUCAUUGUCACAAACAGACGACCCAGCACCUCUUAAUUCACCCAAGCUGAAGCCAAAUGCGAACCCUGAGAGCCACUUACUAUGAAAAUGUUUUUGCUAUUUAUUUUUGCCUUGAACAGAGCAAGACACCGUCUCAAAAAAAAAAAAAAAGUUUUUCCCAACUUUAGUUGGGAUUUGAAAAGAAUAUUAUUGGUUUUCAUACCAUGAGGUUUCUUAUUUCUUUAUAUAUAUAUAUUUGGAUAAUCAUCUGGUUUUUAUUGAUUACUCAUUAAAACCACGUAAGUUAUUGAUUACUCAUUGAAACCAUGUAAGUAUAUUCUUACAUGGUUUUGGAAACAUGGUAAAUGAACUCCCUGGGUCACUGGGAAAGUUGUAGCACUUCGCUUUUUGGUUCAUACACAUAAUUGUUAGCACUUCCUGAUUCCCAGGGACAUUGCAACACUUCCUGGUUUCCUGGUUCAUAAGGAUAGUUGCAACACUCCCUGGGUCAUCACCCAAGUAGAUGAGUAAUACUUAAAUAAAUAUUUCUUACUCAGCAUUUUGAUGUAUUUAUUCAUAGCCUUAGCUGAGGCAGGAAAAUCACUUGAACCCUGGAGGCAGAGGUUGCAGUAAGUCCACCCUGAAGCACAGUAAAAGCCACAAGACAGAAGUGACUGAUCCCAUCCCAGGGAUCCUAAAGAAGAUUAUCAUCAGACUUCUCAUUGGAAACUUUGGAAGUCGGAAGGCAGUAGGCUGAUAAAUUCAAAAUGCUAAAAAAGAAAACCAAUGAAAACAUGCUAACCAAGAAAAAAAAAUGCUACAUGGCUGAAGAAAUCAUGCAGAAAUCUUAGCAACAUUUUAAAUGAUCCAACAAGGUCUGUUGUUUCUGCGCAAAUAUGGGCAAACAUGAGCUGGUAUAGCUUAUUUUUAUGGGUGCAGGGAGCAUGCAGUUAUCUCCACUAGCAUGUUUUUGUUUGUUUGCUUUGA
RNAcentral lists this long non-coding RNA (984 nucleotides) under Homo sapiens (human). RNAcentral's name for it is "non-protein coding lnc-CD99-2:6". Lineage: Eukaryota; Metazoa; Chordata; Mammalia; Primates; Hominidae. The record is from RNAcentral.